RNAcentral lists this long non-coding RNA (206 nucleotides) under Elaeis guineensis (African oil palm). RNAcentral's name for it is "long non-coding RNA (EGUI_LNC037665)". The record is from RNAcentral. Lineage: Eukaryota; Viridiplantae; Streptophyta; Magnoliopsida; Arecales; Arecaceae.
GGUCAGGAAGAGUUUGUUGUGAAGAGUAGUGGAGUGGAAUCGUGGCCAUCACCGGGACAUGCCACGUGGAGUCUGUUGUGGGGAGUGGAGCGGCGUCCGUUGUCGCGACUUGCCAGAGGGUGGAGGAACCGCACGGUAUCCAUCGCAGAAAGUGGAGCAGAAUUGUGGCCAUUAUUGUGGUCUGCCGAGGAGUGAUGGAGCCGCGC